Nerophis ophidion (straightnose pipefish) is the source of this 305-nucleotide long non-coding RNA. RefSeq lists it as uncharacterized. The record is from RefSeq and is a predicted model, not a curated record. Lineage: Eukaryota; Metazoa; Chordata; Actinopteri; Syngnathiformes; Syngnathidae. The transcript is spliced from 3 exons.
GUAUUUUUGCAUGUUUCAUGGCCAAUAAAUCAUCGUCUCACCUGCACCUUGCCGUCGGAGUUCCGUCUGCAUUCUGGGAGAAUGCUCCACACAGCAAAAUGCGAAGACGACAUGACUGGUAAAUACUCUGGCCAUUCAACACGCUCCAAAUCAGAGGUUUUCAAAGUGUGAGGCACCGGAAGACUUGACGGGAGACACAGCAGCUUUGGAAAAGUAAAGACAAAUAAGUUGACAAACUGCUGCUCGUCACUGGAUGGAUCCAUCCUAAAAUAGUCCCAGUGACCAGAAGCUGCUUUCCAUCAUUG